GUCGAGCGCACCUUCGGGUGAGCGGCGGACGGUUUAGUAACGCGUGGGAACGUACCCUUUUCUACGGAAUAGCCUUUGGAAACGAAGAGUAAUACCGUAUACGCCCUUUGGGGGAAAGAUUUAUCGGAGAAGGAUCGGCCCGCGUUAGAUUAGAUAGUUGGUGGGGUAAUGGCCUACCAAGUCUACGAUCUAUAGCUGGUUUUAGAGGAUGAUCAGCAACACUGGGACUGAGACACGGCCCAGACUCCUACGGGAGGCAGCAGUGGGGAAUCUUAGACAAUGGGCGCAAGCCUGAUCUAGCCAUGCCGCGUGAGUGAUGAAGGCCUUAGGGUCGUAAAGCUCUUUCGCCUGUGAUGAUAAUGACAGUAGCAGGUAAAGAAACCCCGGCUAACUCCGUGCCAGCAGCCGCGGUAAUACGGAGGGGGUUAGCGUUGUUCGGAAUUACUGGGCGUAAAGCGCACGUAGGCGGAUUGGAAAGUUGGGGGUGAAAUCCCGGGGCUCAACCCCGGAACUGCCUCCAAAACUAUCAGUCUAGAGUUCGAGAGAGGUGAGUGGAAUUCCAAGUGUAGAGGUGAAAUUCGUAGAUAUUUGGAGGAACACCAGUGGCGAAGGCGGCUCACUGGCUCGAUACUGACGCUGAGGUGCGAAAGUGUGGGGAGCAAACAGGAUUAGAUACCCUGGUAGUCCACACCGUAAACGAUGAAUGCCAGUCGUCGGGCAGUAUACUGUUCGGUGACACACCUAACGGAUUAAGCAUUCCGCCUGGGGAGUACAGUCGCAAGAUUAAAACUCAAAGGAAUUGACGGGGGCCCCGCACAAGCGGUGGAGCAUGUG
This 834-nucleotide ribosomal RNA is filed under the name uncultured marine bacterium. RNAcentral describes it as "bacterial SSU rRNA". It matches the Rfam family "Bacterial small subunit ribosomal RNA", at positions 61 to 943 of the family's 1533-position model. The record is from RNAcentral.